AGCAAUAAACACUUCUGCCUUCUCCUUUCUCUGAAGUCUUUGCUUUUGUUGUCAGUUGUUUGUCUCCGGGCAGAUUUCAAAACACUGUGAGAUGCACGAUCCUGCUUCCAGAGUACAUCUGUGUCAGCCCACGGUUGAUUUCUCGAUUAAUUUUACCCAAGUAACGUGUGGCAGGGCAGGCACUUAACAGCAUGAACUAACGGACAUUGCUGCUGAUUUAGUUGGGCUAAGAGUUGAAGUAUUUGUUGUUCAAAAGGGAGCCUUUUCACAAAUGUAUAACCUGAAACAACUGCACUUAGAUACCAGCAAAACACAGCAGCGUGAAGUGGUAGGGGUUUAACGGAAAGUAUAAAUCGAGGUGACUCAUAGUGAUUCUUCAUGGUCUGAUGAAGCCCUAUAUGGGUGAAAGCACUUGCCUGUUCAUUCAUGAAUAAAAGCUUUUAUACUUCUUUA
Protopterus annectens (West African lungfish) is the source of this 453-nucleotide long non-coding RNA. RefSeq lists it as uncharacterized. The record is from RefSeq and is a predicted model, not a curated record. Lineage: Eukaryota; Metazoa; Chordata; Ceratodontiformes; Protopteridae. The transcript is spliced from 2 exons.